This 278-nucleotide unclassified non-coding RNA is filed under the name Hevea brasiliensis (rubber tree). The record is from RNAcentral. Lineage: Eukaryota; Viridiplantae; Streptophyta; Magnoliopsida; Malpighiales; Euphorbiaceae.
UGGAAAUUGAAGGGAAAGAUGCAGAUGUAAAGAUAAAAGCUAUUGAUGGUUUGAGAACUGCGAGUAUCAUUGGAAUGACAAACCCAAUCAUGAAAGCCAUACUUGCCAAUGAUGACAACAUUUACUGUGGAUAUUGGAAGCUGAUCAAUAUACCUUUUCUUCAAAUGAAACAUGAUAAAUAGAAAUCUAUGCACGUAAUCAGCAGCUGAAUAAACUUUUAAUGAACCAUCUUUCUAAUACCGAUCUUAAUGGUUGAAUAAAGUUGUGCAGCUUCAUAG